Molecule: non-coding RNA, 1567 nt
Organism: Leopardus geoffroyi (Geoffroy's cat)
Lineage: Eukaryota; Metazoa; Chordata; Mammalia; Carnivora; Felidae
Source: the annotation of a RefSeq genome assembly
UGCUCCCAGAAAAGACCCGCAUCACAGGCCAAGGCCAGUGUGCUGGGUCUCCAUCCAGAAGACAGAAAUGCAGAUGCUGUGGUCCCUCCUCUGCCUGCUGGCAGCUCCCCUGGGUGUCCUAUCUGAACUUACACUUCAGGAGUCCGGCCCAGGACUGGUGAAGCCUUCACAAUCCCUCUCUCUCACCUGCAUUGUCUCCGGAGGCUCCGUUACCAGCAGUUACUACUGGAACUGGAUCCGCCAGCGCCCUGGGAGAGGGUUGGAGUGGCUGGGGUACUGGUCAGGUGGCACCAGCUACAACCCGGCUUUCCAGGGCCGCAUCUCCAUCACUGCUGACACAGCCCAGAACCAGUUCUCCCUGCGGCUGAGCUCCAUGGCCACCGAGGACACGGCCGUGUAUUACUGUGCCAGAAGCACACGGGGCCCGUGUCAAUGUGACUAUUUUGACUACUGGGGCCGAGGAGUCCUGGUGACGGUGUCCUCAGAGUCCAAAACCAGCCCCCGUGUCUUCCCGCUGAGCCUCAGGACCAGUGACCCAGCCGGGCAAGUGGUCAUUGCCUGCCUGGUGCGAGGGUUCUUCCCGCCGGAGCCCGUGAAAGUGACUUGGAGCCCCAGCAAGGAAGGCGCGUCCAUCCGGAACUUCCCCGCAGUGAAGUCUGCUUCCGGGAACCUGUACACCAUGAGCAGCCAGAUGACCCUGCCGGCUAGCCAGUGCCCCGAUGGCACGUCCCUGCAAUGCCGCGUGGAGCACUAUUCCAGCACCAGCCCGGCCGUGUCUGUGCCCUGCAGAGUUGAACCCCCUCCUCUGUGUUCCCCGUGCAAUGAACCCCACCUGUCACUACACAAGCCCGCCCUCGAGGACCUGCUUCUGGGCUCCAAUGCCAGCAUCACGUGCACACUGAGCGGCCUGAACAACCCCAAGGGUGCCCUGUUCUCCUGGACACCCUCAGGGGGGAAGGAGGCCAUCCAGAAGCCCCCAGAGCGUGACUCCUGCGGCUGCUACAGUGUGUCCAGUGUCCUUCCAGGCUGCGCUGAGCCAUGGAACCGCGGGGAGAACUUCUCCUGCACUGCCACCCAUCCCGAGCUCAAAACGCCAAAAACUGACACCAUCUCCAAAGUCCUAGAGAACACUUUCCGGCCCCAGGUCCACCUGCUGCCGCCGCCGUCGGAAGAGCUGGCCCUCAAUGAGCUGGUGUCGCUGACGUGCCUCGUGCGAGGCUUCAGCCCCGAGGACGUGCUGGUACGAUGGCUGCAAGGAUCCCAGGAGCUGUCCCGGGAGAAGUACCUGACCUGGGGCCCCCUGCGGGAGCCCGACCAGAGCGUCCCCACCUUCGCCACGACCAGCGUGCUGCGAGUGUCGGCCGAGGACUGGAAGCAGGGGGAGAAGUUCUCCUGCAUGGUGGGUCACGAGGCCCUGCCCCUGGCCUUCACCCAGAAGACCAUCGACCGCCUGGCGGGUAAACCCACCCACGUCAACGUGUCUGUGGUCAUGUCGGAUGUGGAAGGCGUCUGCUACUGAACUGCCCACCUGCCCCUCCCUGAAUAAACUCCGUACUGGCCCAAAGCA